GAAGCUUGCAGUGAGCCGAGAUCGCGCCACUGCACUCCAGCCUGGGCAACAGCGUGAGACUCCGUCUCAAAAAAAAUAAAUAAAUAAAUAAAUAAAAUAAAGUACAGAGCCUUUAUAAUUACUUAUGCAUGAAGCAAUCACACAAAUGCAAGAUUCUUCUACAGGUCCCCUGAAAACAGUGUCACAGCUGGUUACAUCCAAACAUCUUAUAAUUACUUUACAAAACCAGCUGAUAACCUUGUCAGUAGCAAAGUAAUGAAUUAGUAUGAAAAAUACAUUACUCUUACUUGAAUUUACUAAUAUGACUAUAGAUGAUUCUUAGUGUCACAAAUUUAACCGCUUUAAGAGCGCUUUAUACUGUUUUGGAAUGUUUCGCCCUUUCAAUAGGUCUUUGUCAGGAGGGCUAGUUCCACAUGAACAAGAAAAUUAAAAAUAUUCUUUCAUAUCAUGGCCAAGACAUAAUUAUAGACAGAAAGCCAGAACUUGGCAUCUCACACGUGGAGAUGUGGAUGUAAGCAGCUUUUAUUUUGAACAGAAAAGGUGCAAGGAGCCAGAUGAGUGUUUUUGGCUUUCAGAAAAAAGGCAGAUCUCCCACCUGGUAAAUGAUAGGGACAGAGUCCAAAUUGGCAAGCCCUAGUGGAGUGUUGGGAAACAUGAAAGCCUCCAAGGGACAUGAGCUGGAAAGGGGAUAAUUGCCAGUGGAAGAAAAACAGACCCAAACACAUUGUUGGCAGAAAGGUAUUUGGCCCUAUGGUCCAGAAAAACAGCCUGAUAGAUUGUUCCCAUUUGGAAAUGUACCUCACAUACCCUAAUUUGUUAAACUUAUAUUUAUCUGAAAUAUGUUUUUUCUAUUUUCCUGCAUUGCUAAUUUGAAAUAUCUAUCAAUGGAAAUAAUUUUCAAGACAUAAAGACAACUCAGAAGUGUUGCAGUGAUCAUAGCUCACUGCAGCCUUGAACUCCCGGGCUCAAGUGAUCCUCCUACCUCAUGCCUCACCACCUCAGCCUCUCCAGUAGCUGGGACUACAGUCCUCCCCAAGAAAUUCCACAUGGAAACUUGAUAAGGCUGGCUGUGGAUGAGUUAUUCUGUUCCAAGAUUGGACUCUGUGAAGAGCACGGGUGUGGUGGCUUAAGAGAAUUUUCCCAACGAGUUUUCUGCCAUGGGGCACCCCCUUUUGUUGUCUUAAAUAUGCAGCAUUGGAAAUCUGAAGAUCUGGCAUAUGUACCCUAUUACUUGGAUUUGUCUGAUCACAAGUAUUUGUUGGAAGGUGCCACAUUAUUUAACAAAGAGGAACAUCAUUAUUCUGCAGCUUUCCAGAUUGGUGGACAUUGGAUGCACUAUGAUGGGCUCAGAAAUGUGAAUUUAAUUUUGUUAAAUAAACCCCCAGAGUUUCUCCUCUUGUCAUCAUUGGUUUAUAUUCGAGCAACAGAGAAAUAAAUACAGACUGAUGCUAAAAGUUGUUUUCCCUCCUGCCCAUGCUCCCCCAGAUGAAGGGCUUUUAUUUUGUGUAUACUUGGUAUCCAAGAAAAUAGUUCAACUAUACUAGUUUCAGCAGUGUAUUUUCAGUGUUUAACCCCAGGUAAAUGUUUUAUAUAGAGGAUCUAUGCAAAAACUGUUUGUAAUUUUUUUUUAUAUUUCCUGAGUUAUUUUUAUAUGAGCAUAUUUUAUGUUGAAAUAAAAAGUAUCUUGUGGCCUUUGUAUUUUUUAUUUAUAUGUACCUCAAAGAUUUUUACAAUUCUGUCCUUGAAUUCAAGAAAUACGUUGUCAUCUGAAUUCUAAAUUUUUCUUUUUGGAUAUUCAAGUAAAACCUAGGUAAGAGUAUUUUAGUUUAUGUAAUUUAACAGUUCAAAAUAUAUCUGACUGUAUUUCUUUGCCCUACCUCACUAUAAUCCGAAGUGCACUAUUUGAUCUAGUAUGGAUUUGAAUGUAUAAUUUAUUGAUGGCUUAGUUUAUUUGUUUGAUUUGCCCAGUAUCCCUGCAGCAGUUUAAAAAGUAUGAGAAAUUUUUCAGAGCUUAAACUAUUUCUUUAUAAUGGCAAAUUACUUUUAACUAUUUCCUAAAGUAUUAUAAACCUGCCAGUGGAUUUUAAGUGAUAGCUAAGCUUCCAAGCUUAAUUCAGGUUGUUACAAAUAAAUUAUAUAACUAUCCUAAGUGUUUAUCUUAUAAUUAAAUGUAAUUUGAAAUGCUCUAAUAUAUUUUGCAGAUAAAACAACUAUAAACAAUAUUAGGCAACUGGAUGUUUACUAGUGUCGGACUAGCAAUAGAAAUGCACUUUAAAUAUAUAUUUAAGGGGAAAUGUGUGCCUGGAAAUAUUUCUUUUCCUAGUGAAGUUUUACAUUGACACAGAAAAGAAUACUUAAAUUUUUGGAGGGAUGUCUACUGGCUCCCUUAUAAGUAGUGAUUGAUAGCAUGCGGCUUUGACUUGCAAUACAAAUCAUUAGGAUUUUAUAGGUAUCAGAACAUUACGUUUCUUUAUAAAGACCCUAAGGUCACUCUUCUUUUUGCAACUUAAGGGAAAAAAUAAAGAUUCUCAAGGGAAAAUACUUUUUGAAAUUUAUCACCAUUUUAGUGUUUACAUUUCAAUAAAUAGUUCACUUCAGGUUUGGGAUUGAGAUUAGUUGCAAUAUAUUUAGAAACUUAUACAUGACAGCACAGAUCACUGCCAUCUGCUGAAUUGCUAAAGUGCUUGGUGCCAUGUUGAGAAAACUUACCCGAGAAUGGAUAAAUAUGGGUGAAACAUUACUGAGAAUGCCUCACGUUAGCAAACACUAUGAAAAGUCUUGUUUAUAUAUCAAACUUAUUUUACAAAAAAAAAAAUUCACCCCAGGAUUUAUUUAGAUGGUUUCCCAGGUGUAUCUGAAUAGGAUUUAAUUUAGAGUAAACUUUUCUGGGGACACCUGAUUGCAUGAAUUGAAGUAUACAAUAAUGAAUAUUACAGUAAACAUAAAUGGUGUCAUUAACAAAAUUAUUCCUAAUGCACAUUUAUUCUUUUAGGAAAUGCACUUUUUUUGGAAUACUAGCGUAUCAUGAAACAAUGACUUACCUACCUCACAGGGUUGUUGUGAGGAUUAAGAUGUUUGUUAAAAUCUUGACUACCUUGAACAUGCUAAUAAAAAAAUUUUUUUCUACCUCUUUUAUUUGCAGGCAAGGCUCCCAGGUUUUCUCUUACUAAUGAACUUUGCAGAUUUUAAAAAGUUAUUUAGGCUGUAACUCAUAUCACUGAUAUAUUUAGUGUGUAAUGGAAAUUGAGUAUUCCUUCUUGACCCCAGGUUGAGGCUUAAGGAGAACAGAUAGUUUAUUUUUAUGGUAGCAGCUAGUUGAUAGAAAUAAUAAAUUAUCCCCUGCUGACCAAACAGUGAAUAGAAAAAGGAUUAAAAAAAAAAAAAAAGAAUUAACUAGAUUAUCUAUGGAAUGUGAAGGUGAGCGUAUGGAAAAUUCUUUGUAAUUCUAUAAACACCCUUAGAGAAAUCAGAAUAAUCUAUUGGUGGGGAGCUAAAGACAUGAGGUAAUAAUCAGAAUAUAUAUACACAUGUGUAUAUAUAUACACAUAUGUGUAUAUAUAUAUACACGUGUGUGUAUGUGUAUAUAUAUAUACACGUGUGUGUGUGUGUGUAUAUAUAUAUAUUUUUUUUUUUUUUUGAGAUGGGAGUCUCGCUGUCACGCAAGCUGGAGUGCAGUGGUUACAUCUUGGCUCACUGCAGCCUCCGCCUCCCUGGUUCAAGCAAUUCUCCCACUUCAGCCUCCCUAGUAACUGGGAUUACAGGUGCACAGCCACCACACCUGGCUAAUUUUUGUAUUUUGAGUAGAGACGGGGUUCCACUAUGUUGGUCAGGCUGGUCUCAAACUCCUGACCUCAGGUAAUCCACCCUCCUCAGCCUCCCAAAGUGCUGGUAUUAUAGGCAUGAGCCUCCGCGCCCAGCACCAGAAUAUAUUUUUAAUCAAUAUACCACAAACCACUACUAUACCUACAGGGUCAGCAAAAAUAAUUUUAAAACCUUUUCUACAAUCUGGCAUAAAGAACAAAUAAGCAAAUUUAAGAAGGAGUCUUCAACUAGCUUCAGCAAAAGAAACCAUUUCUUCUUUAACUUCUGCAAAUAAUCUUAUUCCUUCAAAGUAGUUUAUAAUAAUUUAUAAAUUAUUAGAGUUUGUUUAAACUGUCACUAGAUCUAAUCCAAUGAAAGAGGAAUAGAAAGGAUAACUGACUACCACAGGCAUGCUUACUAGAGUGAGUCCCAUGUUCUAUUUCUUUCCUAAAGUAUGAGCAAACUAUAUAAUCAGAUGACUACUAUGACACAUAAAAAGCUAUACAUGGCAGGACACGUGGCUCAUGCCUGUAAUCUCAGCACUUUGGGAGGCUGAGGUGAGGGGAUCACUUGACUCAGGAGUUCCCUGGGCAACAUAGGGAGACCCCAUCUCUACUAAAAAUACAAAAAUCAGUCGGGUGUGAUGGUGUUCACUUGUAUCCUGUAGUGCCAGUUAUGCAGGAGGCUGAGGUGGGAGGAUGGCUUGAGCCUGAGUCGGAGGUUGCAGUGAGCAGAGAUCACUGGAGCAGCCCGAGCAACAGAGCAAGACCUGUCUCAAAAAUAAAUGAAUAAAUAAAAAAUAAAAUUAAAAUUAAAAAAAAGAAAAGCUGUACAUGUUGAGCAUAUGAAAAAUUUAGUUUUGUUUAUGUGUUUGUUUUUUAGAUGGAGUUUCGCUCUUGUUGCCCAGGCUGGGGUGCAAUGGCACGAUCCUUGGCUCACCGCAACCUCUGACUCCCGGGUUCAAGUGAUGCUCCUGCCUCAGUCUCCCAAGUAGCUGGGAUUACAGGCAUGUACCACCACGCCCGGCUAAUUUUGUAUUUUUAGUAGAGACGGUGUUUCUCCAUGUUGGUCAUGCUGGUCUCAAACUCCCGAUUUCAGGUGAUAUGCCUGCCUUGGCCUCCCAAAGUGCUGGGAUUACAGGCGUGAGCCACCACGCCCAGCCCAAAAUUGAGUUUUAUAAUGAUUCAGUGACGUUUAAUUAUUAGAAAACAACUGUAAUGUACUAUAAGGCAGAAAGGGUAAGAAGUUCAUGUAAAAUGAUUGUAAUUGAUAUUACUAAACUACAGCCAAACCAAACAUUUAAAAUUUUUAAAUUUUCUCCUUUUCCUUUGUUGAUGCCCUAGCAUUUAAAAUCAGCAUCAAAUUAUUCUGCCCUAAAACUGCAUAGCUUUAAAAGUUCAUCUUAUUGAGACAUUUCUAUAAAGGUCUUAAAUUCCAUAUCUUACUAUCAGGGGUUCCUACAUCCCACCGUACUGGCCCAAGCUCCACUGUCUGGUCAGCUGGACAGCCUCCUUGCUAUGGUUUGAAUGAUGGUGUCCCUUUCAAAUUUUACAUUUAUCUUAAUCCCUAUGGUGGUGGUACUGAGAACUGGGGCCUUUGGGGAGGUGAUUAAGUCAUGAGGGCUUUGCCCUCAUGAGUGAGAUGAGUUGCCCUUAUAAAUGGACUUUUUUUUUUUUUUUUUUUUUUUGAGACAGGUUUGCUCAUAUUUUUUUGAGACAGGUUUUCUUUUUUCUUUUUUUUUUUUUUUUUUUUCUUUUGAGACGUGUCACCCAGGCUGGAGUGCCAUGGCACAAUCAUGGUUACUGCAGCGCUCAACC
Macaca nemestrina (pig-tailed macaque) is the source of this 5618-nucleotide long non-coding RNA. Lineage: Eukaryota; Metazoa; Chordata; Mammalia; Primates; Cercopithecidae. The record is from Ensembl.